Molecule: ribosomal RNA, 385 nt
Filed under: Scinax strigilatus
Lineage: Eukaryota; Metazoa; Chordata; Amphibia; Anura; Hylidae
Description: partial 12S ribosomal RNA
Rfam family: Bacterial small subunit ribosomal RNA
Source: RNAcentral
CUUUAACUUACAUUCACAUCGCCCGGGAACUACGAGCUAAGCUUAAAACCCAAGGGACUUGACGGUACCCCACAUCCACCUAGAGGAGCCUGUCCUAUAAUCGAUAAUCCCCGUUUAACCUCACCACUCUUAGCCUAUCAGCCUGUAUACCUCCGUCGUCAGCUUACCACGUGAGCGACUCCAGUGAGCUUGAUGUCUACUCGUCAAAACGUCAGGUCAAGGUGCAGCUUAUAGAGUGGGAAGAGAUGGGCUACACUCUCUAACCUAGAAAACACGAAAGACUAUUUAUGAAACCUAGUCGGAAGGCGGAUUUAGUAGUAAAAAGAGACAAGAAAGCUCUUUUUAACAAGGCACUGGGGUGUGUACACACCGCCCGUCACCCUCU